ACUGACACACCCACAAGUUAGAUUUCCACCUGGUAUCUCACACAUUUUGAAGCAGCACCCACAUCUCCGCAGCCCAACUGCCAACAGCAGACUAUAUAAUGAACCAUCUGUACCAUAACAGUUAGAGCCUAUUGAGAUGCGUUGAUAACACCAAAGAAAUCUCAUUUUUUUAAUCCUUUUAUCCUCUUGGGUGUUGUUAGACUGAGUCACAUUUCUAAUUGUAUGAUAAAUUGAAAAUGUUGGCAGGAACUUAACUUUUGUAAAAUUUGAGCUUUUUAAUGUUACUUUGAUUGUCUUUCUGGUGGAUUUCUUCGCCGCUACCCUGCAACGGAAGGAAAAGUUGACCUAUGAACCGAAAUUACUGGGAAGCAAAGCCUGCCGCUAUAUGGUGUUAACAGAAGAAACAAAAAUCUUCCCUUAGUCUCUUACGGUUUGACUGAACUAUUCAAUUAUGCCUUUUCAGGGACAAGCUGAAAUGCAGAUCUCAUUGUGGUCCUUGGACCAGUCGUUAAUGGAAUAACUGAAAAAGGACAGCCGUUUUUAAUGGAAGACAGGUACUCCUGUCAUAUUCUAGAAGGUGUCAAAAACAACAAUUAGAAGUAACAGUGGCAGUCGCAGAAGACCAACAUUCUCCUAGAUUGUGACUGGACUCAGGUCUUCUGUUCAAGCAAGACGAGCCUGGCCUCAUCUUUGUUUGCUAUGAAUUCCCACUUGAACAGUAGCAGGUCUACAAGUCCUAUGGCCACAGUAAUAGUUUUACCUGCUUGGCAGCAGAUGCUGGGAAAUUACAGAAGAAACAAAUUAUUAAGUCACUAAGUGUUUGUUAUCUUGAAAGGAUCCUGUGAAUGCAGGACACAAACUCAUGUGUAAUAAAGGAAAUAUUCCUCCAGAAAAUUAAUUUUUCCAGAGAAGCUCAAUCACUCACCUUGCAGUUCUCCACUCCGACUAUAGAGCUCCCUUCUCUGUUCUCGCAGAUAGGCGCUCAUACUGAUGGCAUGGGAGGACGAUUCGAACCUGCAGAGAAACACAGGGGAAACAGACAAGCAGGCGUAAACCAAUUAAGUGCUGACCAGCUCUGUAUUCCACAUUAUUCUACUCUGGUCUGUGUGGUGCUCCCCGAUGUUCCGUGAUGAAGACACUUUGGCUAUACCAUGACAGGGCCAGGGCCAGCUGCCGCAGACCUUGAUUUAUGAGCGAUAUUCCUGGCUAAGGCUCCUUUACAACCGUAUUUGGAUCUUUUGCUUAUUCUGCAUUUCAACUGGUACAACUCUGAUCUGUCCCAACUUCCUUUUGCUUUCAGACCCCCAUCAGCCUUUAGCCAGGAUCCUUAUACAUGCAGCAACGAAAGCAUCCUAUGAAGUCAUUCUAAUUACGUUACCAUCCAGCUCAGAAGUCACCAAUGACUGCCAGCUACCAACACAGACACACUGGCUCCUCAGAGCAGAACUCACGCCUAACUUCCACAGGUAGAGGACUAGACAAAGGACAUACUAGAAAUGUGGCUGAAUAACAGCACCAGAAAAGCAAGGCAGCUAUAAUCUCUCCCUAAAUGGCCUAAAAAACAGUUUCUUUUCUAAAUGGCUGCUAGUUUUUUGACGUGCUGCCUACAAUAUAAAAUACUCUCAAAAAUACCAAGCUACGCAAUAUUUGUUCACACCUACCCAGGAACUAUUUCAGAGGUUAGAAACACUGGUGAAGGAGGGAGAAGGAGGGAGAGACUCAUGAUAAAGAACAGGUUUCUAAAACCUAAAAUAAUAACUACAAAAAGAAAUAACAAAAACAAAUCAGUCUUAAGAUAAACGUGCAAGUAAGAAAAAAAACAGAUAAAAUUAUGACAUAUCAAACAGUAAAUCCUUUGAUGUGAUAAGAGAUCCCAUUUCAAACUGAGAUUUCAAAGGCAGGAUAACAACCUGCCAGAUGGAGGAAUCCUUCUAAGAAUGACUGCCACUAAGGGGUAAAAGCAGCAACAUAGUAUGAGCAACAGUGCUAAUGGGAUAGGUUUCUGGCAACAAGGCAGGCACACCAUCAUUUUCUUAAUUAUGCCUUCUUUAUCCUUUCCUUGACAAGGAAGAUGAAUACCGAGAUGAAUGUCAGUCUGUGAGGGAAACACUUGGGUUACUUGAUCCCCUCUCUGCACCCUGCCAAGAACUAAGAGGGUACUAACAGCCGGAAAGAAGGCAAAGUGUGCAGUACUUCAAACAUGCCACCUGCCAGUCAAGUGCAGAAAAGAAGCCACUGACCUCCAAAAAGCAUGCUGACAGCUAUUGAUCAGAUACGGCAAAGAAAAAAAAUAAAUAAACUCUUAAGCAAAGAAUAGAGAGGCACACAUAGCACAAUAAGGCAGGACUUAAACAGACUUAAUUAACCUUAGCUAAGGGUAAUUAAAGAGGGUAAUAAAGUCCUUCACAGAUGUGAUAAAAACAGUCAAAAUCUUAAUCCUUUAUGACUUGAUGUAUUUUUGGUACUCAGGAAUUCUUUUUAUGUCUGCAACAAGUCACAGAUUGAUAUAAUUUUGCAGUAAAAGAGGCACUAGAGAUUGAGUCUCACCUCCUUAGUUUAUAUCCAGAGACACUGAGACCUGCUCAGACACACAUGGGCUCAAUGAUAGAACCAAGACUGGAAACAGACAAAUCUGUAAUAACGGCCUAAUUCUGUGUCUGUGAUAAGUUUCAUUACUGCCCAGUAAUAAAAAAUGUGUAAUAAUUA
Long non-coding RNA from Pan troglodytes (chimpanzee), 2706 nucleotides. RefSeq lists it as uncharacterized. The record is from RefSeq and is a predicted model, not a curated record. NCBI's taxonomy places the organism in Eukaryota, Metazoa, Chordata, Mammalia, Primates, Hominidae. The transcript is spliced from 2 exons.